AAAAAACGUGAUGGCGGUGCCUUAGAGCCACAAGUGAUUGAGCCAUGCCGCCUAGAAAAGCUUCUAAGCGUUGAUAUUUGAGUGACCGUACCGCAAACCGACACUGGUAGGUGGGUAGAAUAUACCAAGGGGAGCGAGAGAACCCUCGUUAAGGAAUUAGGCAAAUUUCCCCCGUACGUUCGCAAUAAGGGGGGCCUCUGGCGGUGAGCUUAAUCGCAAAGCUGCUGGAGGCCGCAGAGAAAUGGCUCUUCCAACUGUUUAACAAAAACACAGGUCUCUGCUAAGUCGGAAGACGAAGUAUAGGGGCUGACGCCUGCCCAGUGCUGGAAGGUUAAGGGGAGAGGUUAGGCGCAAGCCGAAGCUUUGAGCCGAAGCCCCAGUGAACGGCGGCCGUAACGAUAACGGUCCUAAGGUAGCGAAAUUCCUUGUCGGGUAAGUUCCGACCCGCACGAAUGGCGUAAUGAGAGGAGCACUGUCUCAACGAGGGACUCGGCGAACAUUGAAGGACGUGUGAAGAUACACGUGACCCGCAGCGGGACAAAAAGACCCCGUGAAGCUUUACUACAACUUGCCAUUGAGUUAGGGCUAAACCUGUGUAGUAUAGGUGGGAGGCUUUGAAGCUGGGACGCCAGUCUCGGUGGAGCCACCGUUGAAAUACCACCCUGGUUUAUUCUUGGCUCUAACCUGUCGCCGUUAUCCGGCAUGGGAACAGUGGCUGGUGGGUAGUUUGACUGGGGCGGUCGCCUCCGAAAGCGUUACAGAGGCGCCCAAAGGUUCCCUCAGGCUGAAUGGAAACCAGCCGUUGAGUGUAAAGGCACAAGGGAGCUUGACUGCAAGACCAACAAGUCGCGCAGGGACGAAAGUCGGGCUUAGUGAUCCCACGGUUCAGAGUGGAAUGGCCGUGGCUUACCGGAUAAAAGCUACUCCGGGGAUAACAGGGUAGUCUGGUCCAAGAGUUCAUAUCGACGACCAGGUUCGCCACCUCGAUGUCGGCUCAUCACAUCCUGGGGCUGGAUAAGGUCCCAAGGGUUGGGCUGUUCGCCCAUUAAAGUGGUACGUGAGCUGGGUUCAGACCGUCGUGAGACAGGUCGGUCUCUAUCCGCUGUGGGCGUAAGGGAUUUGAGAGAAGCUGCCCCUAGUACGAGAGGACCGGGGUGGACGGACCUCUAGUGUGCCAGUUGUUCUGCCAAGAGCAUUGCUGGGUAGCUACGUCCGGCAGAGAUAACCGCUGAAAGCAUCUAAGUGGGAAACUCGUCUCAAGAUUAGAUCCCUCAUCCGUAUGGAGUAAGACCGCUAGAAGACUACUAGUUUGAUAGGCGGCAGGUGUAAGCGCAGUAAUGUGUUCAGCUUAGCCGUACUAAUGGUCAAGGGCUUACGUUU
This 1380-nucleotide ribosomal RNA is filed under the name metagenome. RNAcentral describes it as "bacterial LSU rRNA". It matches the Rfam family "Bacterial large subunit ribosomal RNA", at positions 1558 to 2925 of the family's 2925-position model. The record is from RNAcentral.